UCAGUUUAGUAAACAGUUCAAUUUCAAAAAAUAUGUUUUGGAGCGAAAGACUUAUCUCAAACUGUAAGACUGUCAUUGUAAGAUGUAGUGUAUUUACUCACAGGAGCCAGAAGGGGGCGAUCAGGCUGCCAUCCAUCAACUGGCACACGAGGCAGAGCCAGUGAACACACUCUUUGAGAAGGACAUGCUUUUAGUGCUGCUGCACUUACCACCCACUCCGGUGACCUUCUGUAACGACAGACAUAUGAGAUGACACCUGAGAGAGCUGGAUUCAUAUUUGCUUAUUAACUAAUUACAGAUGCCAACAUGAGUUGAGAACACAGCCAAUAAAAGCCCUGCGAUGAGCUCUGAGACUGAGUUUAGCGUUUGAAUGGAACCAUGAGGACAGUGAGCAGGAGAGCUUUUAUUGCAUGAAGACGUCAGAUGAUGUACUGCUGGUGACUGCGUCAUUAAACUCUAAACGGAUACUGAAGUUAUGAGAUAAGCAUCAUGGGAUACUGUGGAAGUGAAAUUAUUGUGUGUGCAUUUUAACGAAGAUAAAAUGGAAUGAAUAUGA
Long non-coding RNA from Ctenopharyngodon idella (grass carp), 556 nucleotides. RefSeq lists it as uncharacterized. NCBI's taxonomy places the organism in Eukaryota, Metazoa, Chordata, Actinopteri, Cypriniformes, Xenocyprididae. The record is from RefSeq and is a predicted model, not a curated record. The transcript is spliced from 2 exons.